Non-coding RNA from Taeniopygia guttata (zebra finch), 1814 nucleotides. The record is from RefSeq and is a predicted model, not a curated record. NCBI's taxonomy places the organism in Eukaryota, Metazoa, Chordata, Aves, Passeriformes, Estrildidae.
UGUGGCAAUGGUGGAACAGCUUUGAAACACAGGAACACAGCACAUCAAAGUUCUAGAUUGUUUUAUCACUUGCAUGUUUGCAACUACUAUGUUUAAUUUACAGUUAGCAUUUGCCCCAGUCGUUGCCCUCUGUUGAUUCGGCCAUGGUACCGGACGGGGUGAAUGCAGACGAGCUUCACACAGUAACCUGGGAGAGACGGGAGAGGAAGCGGGGUCAGGAAACAUCAGCUGCAUCUUCUCCUGGGGACAGCAAGGCGGCCCCGGUGGCCAGGCAGCCGUGUUACCUGUCAGCGCCGAAAUUCCCGCAGCCGUAUCGGUCGCAGCCGCGGAUGCGGUUGGUGGGGUUCCCGCUGCAGAUCUGAGCCCAGUGCCGGUGCUGCUGUUGGGGCGGGUGUGCAUCCAGCUGCUUGCUGAAAACUUCACAUGGAAAAGAGGAAAAACAGGAAAAAUUCAACCAUGUUCUGAGUCCAGUGCAACAGAAAGUAUUCAGGGACACAAUGGGGUGUUUAAAGUGAAAGACAUGAGCUCCAAGGAGUUUGUCAUUUCAGAAACUGUAGUAUACAACCUGCUGUAUAGACUUGAUCCAUUUUUCCCUGAUGUCUUACCUUAAGGUAUAUAAACCAAAAAGAAAGCAAAGCUAUAGAUAAAGAUGUUUAAAAAUAGUUUGUGAAAUAAAUUAUUUUUACUUUCUAAUGGUGCUGGGUUGAUGGUUGGACUUCAUGAUCUUAGAGGUCUUUUCAAACCUUAAUGAUUUUAUGAUUCUUUCUGAAACCUCCAACUACUUCAAUAUAUGUCUCUUAAUGCACACCUAAUUCCAUAUUUUAUAAUAGUCAUAACUGUCCACAUUACCAUCAUUCCUCAUAAAACUAGAGGGAAAAAAACUCAGCAUUAUUUAUGUUCAAGUGAAUUUCAAUAAUUCAUUAUUGUCUGCCUAAACCCAGUCAAGCCCAGCUGCAUUACAGCAAUCUCAACUCACCAGUGGACACCAAGCUGACCAGAGUGACCAGACUGAAGGCUGCCAUUUUGGGGCCGUGUCACCCGUUCUUUGAUCCAGUCAAAGACGUUGAACAGCUGCCACCUGAGGUAUUUAUGUGCUUUUGAAAGCCCAAGUCUGUUGUCUUGGCCAAUCAGUCUCAAGCAAAGUAUUACAGCUCCAGGCAAGUGGUGUUGCCAUAUUGGGAACUGUGGUGGUCUGCAGGCUCUGGCAGUUGUUAAAGCUGGUUGGGAAAGAUGGAUAAAAUAAUUGGGCUCUUAAUAGCAAGAUAUGGAAAUGACCCCACAUUUCAGGAAACUCUGGUUGAGCUGUUUCUUAACACCUUUUCUUCCCCUUCCUGGAGUAAGGUCACAUUUAGGCCAAAAAUGGUAGGAACCACAAAUGUGGUUCAGAGGAUUGAGCUGAAGGGAAACGGUGGUCAAAGCUCCAGAGUGGAUGUCACCAAUUUGUCCUCUGCUGCUCAUUUCUCCCUGUGUGUUUGUGCCCACCAGAGCUUUGUGACCAAGAACACAGGAAAUGUUUGUCGUUAACGAGUAUUCACUUAUGUGAUGCUUUUGCAUUAAAACAUUUCUUUUUUCUGGUUGAGCUGAUAUUGUAAUUUAUUUCACUUAAAUCCAUGAAGUGUGUUCACUGAAACCCUGGGUUUUUAACAGAGCAAUACUUAUUAAAACAUCUUCAAGUUCUGAAACAACAGUUGCAAACCCAUGUUGCAUGGGUAAAACUGGCCUGGAGUUCAGUAAUUCUAGUUUUUAAAGUGAUGCCUUUAGUGCCUUCUUGGUUUCAGCUAUUGUACUAUAAAUAAUAAAUUAAUUGUACUUUG